Molecule: unclassified non-coding RNA, 461 nt
Filed under: Hevea brasiliensis (rubber tree)
Lineage: Eukaryota; Viridiplantae; Streptophyta; Magnoliopsida; Malpighiales; Euphorbiaceae
Source: RNAcentral
AAACUUCCAACAAACUUAGAAUGAAUAAACAGUAAAUCUACUAGAUCUAAACAGUUCAAGGAGAUCUUACACACAAAAGCAGGACCUAACAUUCACCAGUAGGUGCAGGACAAAAAGAGCCCAACUCAUUUACAUCAAUUCGAGACACAGAGAGAAAAGCACAUAGGAUGAUAACGAUAACAUAAGGCAAAGGUAUGGUUCUCAUAGCAUACAGUCUGUUCUCGCAGGCAGUCUUCUGAAGAAAUUAAGUGGCGCAGAUGGUAGCUUGUGACGGAACCUUGGAUGUCUCAGUACAUAAAAUCCUGACAAGAGUGCCACAACUUGGAAGGGUGUCACAUAGAGCACAAUGGCAGCAAUCAAGCAGAAAAUGACAAACAGCGCGGUUGCUCUAGGGUCUCUCCAGCUCAACAAAGACUGCAGCCUCUCCCCUUGAGUAGCCAAAUCACCAACCACAGUCUGAA